RNAcentral lists this signal recognition particle RNA (290 nucleotides) under Gonium pectorale. RNAcentral's name for it is "Plant signal recognition particle RNA". It matches the Rfam family "Plant signal recognition particle RNA". Lineage: Eukaryota; Viridiplantae; Chlorophyta; Chlorophyceae; Chlamydomonadales; Volvocaceae. The record is from Rfam by way of RNAcentral.
GCCGGGGGACGUAGCGCUUCCCUGUAACCCAUGUGGAGGCUGAUGUUGCGGAGAUGUGCAUGAUUCUUCCGGUCUAGCAGCCUGCGUCGAGGGCGUGUCCUCUCUGAGCGCACAGUCGGCAACGGGGCCUCCCUGACGGGGGAUCCUCGUGGCUGCAUGGAUAGCCUGGCACCGCGUGAGGCAGGAAACUGAGCAGCGAAAACGGGCAGCUGCGCGCGGCAGAAGGAUCGCAUGCCUGAGUGGGCGGCUAGGCCACCCGGAAGGUCCUCUGCGGAUCGACCAACGUUUUU